Long non-coding RNA from Chelonus insularis, 978 nucleotides. RefSeq lists it as uncharacterized. The transcript is spliced from 3 exons. The record is from RefSeq and is a predicted model, not a curated record. NCBI's taxonomy places the organism in Eukaryota, Metazoa, Arthropoda, Insecta, Hymenoptera, Braconidae.
AUAAUAGAAAACGGCUGAGAAUAAUGAAGAGAUAACAAUGAAACAAUCAAAGUCAAUGUACCACAUGAUAUGGUAUCGAUCGUUAUAGGAGUUUAGGGCUGCGCAGGGCUGCGCAGCCUUCAGCUCAAAUUGUGUUCAUGAACAAAAGAUCAUUAGACCGUGCAAUAUGGAUUGAAAAGAAUAUUGCUAUGACUCAUAUUUCAAUUAUAAACGCGUACAAUCCUCUUUCAUACGCUAAAAAUUAUAAGGGUGAGCUUGAGAGCCAAAACCCAUAGAAUAGAAUAGGAUCCUAUGGGCUGCGCAGUCAGAUGUCUUCAAUCAUUACCAUUGGUCUGACAAGAUACUCAACAUCGACAAUGGACUUGAAAUAAUUCAUACAAAAAAAAAUAAUAACAAUCUUAAGAAACAUAACCUCUACUAGAGGCUGACUGGUCACAUGGCAUGAGACAACACACACUCAUCUACGAUUAAUACAAAUAUUAUUAUUAUUUAAUGAGAUGAGAUUUAGGAAAUUAAGGGAGCAUACAUAGGAUGUUGGAGAUAUGGUAUUUUCAUCAGGUGGUGGAUGGUUUUUUAUUCAAGAAAGUAAAUAGAAGCCGGGUAAUAUAAUCGCUUGAAUUAUGAAGAAAUAGGCAAACAUAAAAGCUGUCAUAAUCAAUCACUUUAAGAUGAAUGAAAGUUUGAUACCUGGUUUAGUUUUUGAACAACAAUAAGUCUACAUACCCAUAUUAAUGGUAAACACAAAAAGAUGAUUCUAUGGUGGAACUAUUAUUUCAUAAAAAUCUCUUAGUUCUGGAUCGUAUACGAAAUAUAAGUGUGUUAUUAAAUUCACCGGUAGUAAUAUACCGCCUAUUGUCAACUAUGUAAGUAGAAAAGCAAAAAUCACCAAACUGCCUGCGCAGGCUAUCACUGCUAAGGUUGAGAAUGGACUGCGCAGCAUCCUGACCAGGAUUGAAAAUACAGCUACCACAAGCCAAA